UGUGGGACAAGAGGCAAAUUUAGUUGCAACUACACUGGUCACAAUCGAGAAAUUCUUGGUACAGCUGACGAUAAUGUAAUGUAAGGUGAUAAAUGAUAAUCCUUGUAUUUGUUGUGUUCUCUACUAUCUUUUUGCAGUGUCAAUGCAUGACAGGAUAUCACAACCAUUUUUAGCAGAUGAGCUAAAACUAUCAGGAGGAUUAAUAAUGAUUAGUGAUGCUGAGAAAUGUGUCAAUCAUUCUGGAUUUGUAAGGUAAUUAUGCCACACUUUUCUGCUUGUACUUCUUCUAGACAGGAAAAUCACAUUUUUUCCUCUUCUCCUCUGAGCAGUAAUUUCAAAUUCUAUUUUUAGUUUAUCGCAUCAAAUUCAUAAAACUAACUUUUGUAACGAAAAGUUUUUUCAAUUAUGCCUAUAUAAUCACUGGGAAAAAAAUGCAGUAUAAUGCUAAAUGAUCCUUUGUAGGUGACAAACGCGAGUUUUAGGACCACACAUGUAUACUUUCCGUGCAAUUCUUAGAUGAAAUUUGGCUGGAAAACUAUUUUUUACAUUUGACAGAACAAAAGUGGUGAAAUUUAUUGACAGGACAGCAAACUUUAUAUGUGUCACUUAGAUUGUUUCACCCCAAGUUCAAGAUCACAAGACUUGCAAACGACGUUUAUUUGCUUCUUUUUUCUUUUACAUGGGAAAAGAUAACAAAUUACUUUAAAUCUUUCAUUAGCAACGUGACUUGAAUCAAUCAAGAGAAAAAACUCCAUUUUCUUGAGUGGAGCUUUCCAAACGAUCAAACCCUCUUUAUUUCUAUGACCUUCAUUUGCCAGAAAAUGGUCACAUUUAUUCUUCUUCCGCAAGAUGUAUGUAAUAGUAGCCUUCAUGGUUUCCAGCAAAUUUUUAUGAUCUUCAAUAAUAGCCCUAACAAGUGAUACUAUCUGUCCUCUUUGAUAAGCUUGACAACAAGUAGGCAGUUUGUUUCCGCCUUUAAUUCUUUAUACCCAAUUCUUUUUGUUAGUUUUGACCCUUGUUUGAUGCUCCAUAGCUCUAUAGUGAGGCUUGAAGUUGGAUUCGUCUUACCUGAAACCCGAUAUCUACUUCCCUUUGUCUCAAAAAUUCCUUAAGUGCCGCAUGUGCCUUGUUUGAGUCUUGACAUUAGCAUUACAGGCAUUUUGAAAAUAAUGCAAUAUUUGUAUCAGGAAUUAUACUAAUUUUGGAAUGUGGUGGCAUGGUGCUAUGCACUCCUGAUUAAAGCCACUUCCUGUGGCUUUGCCUAGACAUCAUCAUCUCUCGUCAGGUUUAGCUAAAAAAUUAUUGGGAAAACAAAAUAAUAAAAGAAAAUUUAUGCGGAAGAAUUGAGCUGAUAUACCCAUAUCUUAUAGUAAUUCUGAAGUGGAUAUUCAAAUUCUUUUAAAAGAUAACAUAAUAUGCAAUUAAGAUCUUUGAGAAGGACAUAAAUUGCAGUUACAUAAAUUGCCUAUGUGUAAUGUGAGAGCACCCCCUGGACUUAAAACUAUAGUAAAACAUCUGAUGUUUUAGUAUGUUGCGUUUUCUGGUUUUCUUUUCUUUAUGCUUUCAGCUGUCUGUAAAUGAGGAGAACAAUUGGAUAGCUCACGAAAAUUAACAUCUUAUGAAGUUUCACUUGAGCAUACAUAACAAAAUAUAACAAGCAUGCUGGUAUUGCAUGCAACUGAUUAGCUCAUAUACACAGAGAAAACAGAGAAGAAGAAAAAGGAGCCAGGAUAGACCAUUCCCCGGAACAUGUGGGGAAGAAGAGAAGUGGCACCAGAUGGAACAACAUUAACGGAGGAAGAAUCCGAGGAAGGAUCAUCCUUCUGUGGCUUUGAUGGCUCUGGAGCAGGUGCUGGUGGUAAUGGUGGGACAAAGAAUUUCAAAGGAAGCAGUACUUUAUCCACUUGGUAAAUAGCUAAUUGAUUGUCAGUGUAAAUUGUACUGGUCAGACUUGCAUUCACAAUUCCGGUUGUUAUGUUCACUGCUGUCCCAUUUGUGGUUAUGUUGAUGGGGAAUUCACGAUUAGUGGUUCCUCCAGCUUGUGUUGGUACAGGGUUGCUAGCCGUUUGGAACUGCGACAGGGAGAAAUAUGAGGGGAGGAUAUGGAAUUUAACCAAGUCAGCUUUCCGCUGAUCGCUGAAAGAGUUGAGGGUGCCAGUUUUCAGGUUCAAGAAAGCACCAUCUGGUGGAACAAACAUGGUUAAGCUGUUGGAUUUGUUUAGAUAUGAAGUGAUUUCACCAACUUCAUGAGUGAUUUGUAACAACUUGAUGAACGUCGAACAUGAUCCAGCUUUCCCAAGGAUUUUUAUCACGUUUGGCGGACCAGAUGGUCCUGGAGCCGGAGCAGAAACUACAAUUGGGGACAAUAUUGGUGCCGGAGGAGAAGAAAUAGUUGGUGGUGGUGAAGCCGGAGCAGAAGAUUGAGCCAGGGGAAGUGAAGCCGGAGCCGAAGAUUGAGUUGGUGGCAUUGGAGCCAUAGCAGGUGCUUGAGCCAAAAUGCAAGUGAAUUGGAGCAAGAAGAGGAUCAAGACAAGAAAAGGUGACGCUAAGUUGUAAUCCAUUUUUCUUUCUUGAUUUAGCUCAAUUUGAAGUUGUCAGAUGAUGGGGGAGAAGGAGAAUGUGUGCCAGUUAUAUAGUAAGCUGUGGGUUGAUUUCUUGCUCCAAAAUAAUUAAACAAAAAAGAUGUGAUAAGCGGUUUGGGGAAAAAGUUUGUGGGGUACUGUGACGACAGAAAUUGCUAGGUGAAAAGGUGCAAUCUAAGGGUGAGCUGAGAAUAAUAUGUUGUUUACUGUUAAAAGACAGCUACUGGCUUGAUUAUGAAGAGAGAAACAGCUGAGGAAGUGAACUAAUUCCUUUGUAGAUACUAUUAUAUACAUCCGUACAUAGAUUUGUAUGUAUAGCCACUUCAAUCGUGUUCGUCCUUUCUCCAAAUAUCUUUUUUUUCUGGGAACAUGGUAAAUUAGACGAUUUUUCAUUCACCUAUGGAUAAAAUGCUCUAGUUUUCCAUUCUUGUAUGAGUCCGAAAAUUGAAUUGGCCAUUCAGUUAUUUUGUGUGAUUUGAGGUGGGUAAAGUAGUUAGGUAAAAAUAUCUCAAGUUGCCUGUUUUGCUUUAUGCAUUAGUGUCAAGACCCGAACCGAGGCCUGACCGUAACGAGCAUCCCGAACCACGAAGGCUCGGUACGUCCUUCUAUAUCUGGUGAUCAUGCACAUCAUUCAUAUAAUGAAAAGGAAUGCGGAAAUACAAAAUACAACAGAAUCAUGGUCAUAAGUCUAAUGUGAUCAAUAAUGGAAAAUGAACUCCAAAACCAUCUAUCAACAUCUGAAAACCGUUUGUGAAAUCUCUACUACAUGACUAAUGACAACUGUCUGAAAACAGGGACAAGGACCCCAGUAGACCAAAACGGAAAUAAACGACAUAAUCUGGAAAGACGGGCCUUCUGGAAUAGAGAAGGCUCACCAACUUAACACUACAACUCUGUCUAAUAAAUCUACUACCUUUCUGAACCCCUAGACUGAGCCUUAGAACCUGGAGGGAGGAGGGGGGUCAAUACAGAUGUACUGGUACGCAAAUCAAUCCAAAAUAAAGCUUUUAUAUAUAUAAAAUAAUGAGAGAGCAAUUUGUCAAAAUAUCAUGCACGUAAUAGUUCUAAAACACAUGGGCACUUUUCUAAAACUCAUAAAUCAUUCUUGUCAAUGCAAAAAUAUGAUCUUUGUAUUACUUCUGAGUUAGGUGGCACUCCCCUACAAGUCUGAUAUUCCACGGGCUAUAUGAAAUCCGUCGUUGAAUCGGCGGGGAAGCCCCCAACCUAAGUGCCGCAAGGGAUGGAGUGUCUGAGUCUGAUACGCCACAAGGCUCUAGGCUAGCGUAGUAUAAUCAUUUGGCGUGUAGCAUGAGUUAUGUGAACUGAGCACACUAUAAAGCGUGAGUACAUGGAUCAUGAGCUGUAUGACCUUAAUUUGGAGUUCAUAACUUAUGGAAUGUGAUCCUGACUACUGAAUGAACUGGAAUUCCUCAUUUAGGAACUGGAAGAGCACGUGAUUCUCUAUCAUAUACAUGAACAUGAACUAUGAUCAUGGAACUGAAUGUGAGGCAUUAGUGGGUAUUCGGAUAACUGAAAAAUACUAAGAUAAGAAUAAGUUGAGUUUCACCCUCACUUUUUGACGUUCUAUAUCAUACUGCAUCACUACUAAAAUCUGAGAGCCUCACCUGGUUAUUCAUUUUAUGAUCUCCCCCUUAGCUUUAAGCCAUCAUCUUAAGUUUGAGAGAUCCCUUACUAGACUCUAAACUGAACUACACUCACUGCACUUUGGAGUCUGGAAUAUGACAUACAUGAAAUUAAUAGAACUUAACUCGAAUGGCUACACCUAGAAGGGGAAAACCCACUGCUAAUCCUACCCUCUGAGACACACUCUAUCUUUCUAUACCCCCAGUAUUCAAUCAUAUAACACUUGAACACUUACUAACUUUGAAUCCUUAUGAGUAUUCCCAUAGUCGGAGUGCACACCCUAUAGCGGUUCAGUUCUUAUUUCUGUCGGUUAAACCUUUUCAAACUUAGAUUAUGACACUUAACAUGGAUAUCACCAAGCCUUUGAUGAAUCGUACUACUAGUCUUUCUCUACCUAGCAAGUCAACGGUACUACUAUGUCUACUAGACACAUGCAACAUGUAAUAGUCUUAGAAAAUAUUGUGACUCCAUAUCACCUUGGGAAUACUUAUACCUCAUACAUACUACAUCAUACUUCUCUAUGAAUCAAAUAAACUUAAUCUGUUCCAUACAUCGUUCAAGUCUAUUAGAUCACUUCUAUAUAACUAGUGUUCAUUAACCAAGAAAUCUUCACAUCUACCUUCAUGGACAUCAACUGUUCAAACUUAGUACUAGUGCUAUGCAUGAUUUACAACCCAACCUGACACAUGACUCUCACUUGAAAACCAUGAAAUAAACAUCAAGAAACACUAGCACACUAAAACUUCAAAACCACAAUAUUCGAUCAUGACCUUACGGUUUUUCCUUAUCAUAACUCGUUAGCACGCACUAUUUUCUUAUCAUUAACCUACUAAUUUAUUCUCACAAAACAUAAAUCAUUAACCUCAUGCCACUAUUCUUACAUCCAUAUCCUAUAUUAAAUUCAAGCCAAUAGUCUAGCAUCAAUUAUCUACCACCAAUGAAGAAGGAAACAUUAUAUACUAGCCCAUCAAAUUGGGACAUUCUAACCAAAUACCUCAAAAAUCUACUAAUACCUUCUCACAAGUAGUACUAGUUUACAACUACCAACAAAAANNNNNNNNNNNNNNNNNNNNNNNGGGGGGGGUAAAGUCACAUAAUAGACAUGGUCAACCUUAAUCUUAUAUUAUAACCCCAUACAAUCCUAUAUACUUAUAUGACUCUCUCACAUCACACUUACUUACCCCAGCGGGCAUUUAGACUACCUUCAAAUUCCACAUUCGACAAUGAGUCCAUACUUACAACUUACUGGCUAAUCUAGCCAUUUUCAUACUUUAAGCAAACAACAAUUCACCUUGACUAAUAACUCCUUCUUUACCUUCUACUAAACUAACACAUAAGGACGCACACUUCAUUACCAACUCAAUCUCAUGUGAAAAGAUUUGACUAUACAAAUAUACAACCAACAUAAGAACAAGUUGCUAGUGAAUCGAAAUAGGCCUCACACGGCUUCACUAGACUUUGAUUUUUGUAUUUUGAACAAGAAAAUGAAAUGAAUAACAAGGAAACUAUGCUAGUGAAUCGAAAGAGACCCACACGGUUUUACUAGACUUUGAUUUUUCAAAAAUACCAUGAUAACAAGAUUACAUAUUACAAGAGAUAGACAAUUGACACACAAUUUGCAAUGAUCUAAGAAUAUAUAUCUUACUCUGUAUAAAUAAAAUCUGAGUCAAACACUUCCCCCACAGACUACCAUACCAUCCACACAUGCCACUAGGUACCACAUUAAUCUAUCACUAUAAAGGGGUAAAUCAUCCUCAAAAAUCGGUUAUUCAACUAUAACUAUUUAGUUACAUAAAAGUCAUCCUCACUGUGACCUCUGAACUUGUGGCUUCAUUUCACCAACUUCUUGGUCUAAUCUCACUACUAAUAGCUCAUGACACUGACACUUUAACUUAUGCUACUAUUCGGGUGGAAAUAAAGUUCCAACAAUUCUGCUACACAUCAUUCCCCUUUUAGGCAUGACUUCUGCAACAUAAAUCUGAAAAGGACGGAAUACACUUAAUACUGCAGGCUAAAAAAUACGAUUUCAUUAAAAUCAAGGUUCACACUAGAACCAACACACUCUGAAGCACUAAUGAACACUUCUCAAGUCCUUGCAGAAACCUAAUAUGAUUCAAUCAGAAAGGACCAAACCAUUUAGACUCUAAGCUUCUGUACUUGAAUCAACCCAAUAAUGAGACAUAUCUGAGAACAUCAGAGUAAGGAAAAAAUUGGGAUGAUUGUUACUUUCGUAUAGACGACACCAUCACACUAGUUAGAGUAUGAACGAGGAACAUUCUGACUCCAUAGCACGAACUAGAACAUGAAAAAAGGAAAACAAUCCUAAAUGACUAGUAGCCUCCUAUUUAUAAGUGUGGCGUGCUACACACCCAUAAAUAAGACUCUACCCGAUGCGAUUUUGUAGACACCCUGGUACCAUGAACCGUGCUCUGAUACCAAGUUUGUCACGACCCAAACCGAGGCCCUAGCCGUAAUGAGCAUCCCAAACCACGAAGGCUCGGUACGCCCUUCUGUAUCUGGUGAUCAUGCACAUCAUUAAUAUAAUGAAAAGGAAUAUGAAAAUACAAAAUACAAUGGAAUCAUGGUCAUAAGUCUAAUAUGAUCAAUAAUGGAAAAUGAAAUCCAAAACCAUCUAUUAAUAUCUAAAAACCGUCUACCAAAAUCUCUACUACAUGACUAAUGAAAACUGUCUGAAAACUGAGACUAGGCCCCCCAGUAGACCAAAAUAGAAAUAAACGACAUAAUCCGGAAAGAUGGGCCUUCUGGAAUAGAGAAGGCUCACCAACUUAACAUUAUAACUCUAUCUGAUAAAUCUACUGUCUUUCUGAACCCCUAGACUGAGCUUAAGAACCUGGUGGGAGGAGGGGGUUCAAUACAGAUGUACUGGUACAUAAAUCAAUCCAAAAUAAAGCUUUAUAUAUAUAAAAUAAUGAGAGAUCAAUUUGUCAAAAUAUCAUGCACGUAAUAGUUCUAAAACACAUGGGCACUUUUCUAAAACUCAUAAAUCAUUCUUGUCAAUGCAAAAAUCUGAUCUUUGUAUUACUUCUGAGUUAGGUGGCACUCCCCUACAAGUUUGAUAUUCCAUGGGCUAUAUGGAAUCCGCCAUUGACUCGGCGGGGAAGCCCCCAACCCAAGUAUGCCGCAAGGGUUGGAGUGUUUGAGUCUGAUACGCCACAAGGCUCUAGGCUAGCGUAGUAUAAUAACCCAGAUCGGUAAAUCAUGGUUUUGAGCAACAGGUUUUCUGAACCCAUGCCUUCUUCGGGGAACCACGUAAACUCUUUUUAUGCCCAUUUUUAUCCUAUUCUGAAUCAUGCAUUUUUCUAAUUUCAAUAUCUGAAUAGUCUGAUUUCAAACAUACAUUCUAUUCUGUUUUAAAUUAUCAUGGCAUAAUCUGAAUUGAUGUCGUUACACCAAGACUUGCAAGUCCUAUUUCUGAGCCAUAAUGCAUCAUGCAUGAUUCUUUCAUUAAAACACAGUCCAGACCACCCAAACAUACAAAUAGUAUAAGAGUUUUCAUGUUCCGAAAGCAUAAGUCAAAACUAUGCAAGAACUCUUCAAAUAUAAGGUGGUCAUGUGCUUUUGACAAAAUUCAUGCACUCUUUCAUUAUAUGCAUUCUCAACAUUUUUCAAUAUAAAUAACCCUCUCUUUGGAAUUCAAGAUUCAUAAAUCAAGACACUUCGUAACAUGUUUUUCAAGAUGCAUUUCAAAACAAUCCAUAUUAUAUAAUAAGUAAGGAAAAUCAUAACAAGAGAGGGAUUUUCACAUGAAUCAUGCUCUCAAUUCAAUCAUCAAUAUUAAAACAUGUAAAUAUAUACAUAUAUCAAUUCGAAUAAAUUUGGGGAAGGCCUAAAGACCAAAACAAUACCGUCAAAACUUUUAAAAACAUAAUUAUAUUCAUAAAUUCAAAAUCCCAUUCUUAAAAUCAUGAUUUCUAUGCCCAUGAGAUUUGAGGAAAACCCCGCGUACCUCGAUUACGGAGAAUAAUGGAUGAUUCUUGAAGCCUACGGUUUAGGGAUUCCAAAUCUUCAAUCAAUCUUUAAAACCCACGAUUGAAUCUUGAGGGAUCUUGAUACUUUGGUUGAGACCUUAAGGGUUAUUUCUUGAGGGAAAUUGGAGAAAAGAGUGUAUUUUUGGUGAAUUAGGGGCUGAAUUUCGGUGUUUUUGACGAUUGGGGUCGAAGGGAAAGGACCAAAAUGCCCCUUGACCCUUAAGAAGCUAAAACUGUGCGGGAAUAGGCCCCGCGUCAUGACCCCUAAUUGGGUUAAUUAGCCCUCGCGACGCGACCCCCAUUCAGGUCAAGCAAAACUCGCGUCGUGGGGCUAUCACGACCCCUCACUGCCUCUGAUGGCAUAACUUUUCACUCAGUUAUCGGAAUUUGAUGAAAUUGGUAUCGUUGGAAAGAUGAUUCGAAGAGAUUUCAUUUUAUAUAUAUUAGGCUCUCUAAUUCAUUAUAUAAAAAGAGUUAUGAUCGAUUGAAGUUGACCAAAGUUUCGACGCUCACUCAAACUCGAACGAUAGGAAAGUUUUCAACUCAUCCUUGAGUUUGGGGACCUCUAUCAUCUCAAUUCAUGCUCAAAUCGGUUCCCACACUACAUAAUUGAUUAACAUGCCAAAUUGGCAUAGGAUUUAUGGCUUUUGGAUCAUCUACGCAUAGAAAUGACAGUUUUCGUUCUAGCUCGAAAUGCAGGGUGUUACAGUUAGAGGCCUACUCACUCUAAUAUUCGUAUUGUGAGGAUGAAAGAAUUGGUUUCUUCCAAGAGUAUCUCCAUUUUCAAAGCUCGAACUUGAGAUCUCUAGUUAAAGAUGUAAGGAUAUCAUCCAUCCCACCAGACUCGAUGGUGAUAUAUUUCAAGUUGCAUAUAUGCAAUCACAAAAUAAGUAUAGGAAAUGAUUACUAAUGGAUUUGUGGGACAAGAGGCUAAUUUAGUUGUAACUGCACUAGUCACUAUCGAGAAUAUCUUGGUACAGCUGACGAUAAUGUAAUGUAAGAUAACGAGUGAUAAUCCAUAUAUUUCUUGUGUUGUCUUCUAUCUUUUUGCAGUGAAUGCAUGACAGGAUAUCACAAUCAUUUUUAGAGAUGAGCUAAAACUUUCAGGAGGAUUGAUAAUGAUUAAUGGUGCUGAGAAAUUUGUUUCAAUCAUCCUGGAAUGGUAAGGUAAUUUUCGGACGCUUUUCUGCUUGUACUUUUCUCCUCUUCCUCUCUGAGCAGUACUUUCACAUUUAAUUUUCAGUUUAUUGCAUCAGACUCAUAAAACUAACUUUUGUAACAUAAAAGUUUAUUUUAAUUAUGCCUAUAUAUCACUGGCAAACGUGAGUCCUAUGAAUACCCAUCUAUACUUUCUGUGCAAUUCUCCUUAGAUGAAUUUGGUUGGAAAACUAUUUUACAUUUGACAGUGCAGAAGUGGUGAAAUUUUUUGAUGGGAGAGCGAACUUUUUAUGCGUAUCUAUUAGAUUGUUUCACCUCUAGUUCAAGAUAACAAUACUUGCAAACAAAGUUUAUUUGCUUUUUUUUUUUUUUUAACAUGGGAAAAGACCACAAAUUACUUUAUAGCAAUGUGACUUGAAUCGACAAAGUGGAGUUUUCCAAACGAUCAAACCCUCUUUAUGUCUGUGACCUUCAUUUGCCAGAAAGUCGGCACAUUUCUUCUCCUUAGAUCAGAUGUAUAUAACGGUAGCUUUUGUGGUUUCCAACGAAUUUUAACGGUCUUCAAUAAUAACCCUAAAGGGUGAUGCUCUGUGUACUCUUUGAUAAGCUUGACAACAAAUAGACAGUUUGUUUCCAUUUUCCACCUCUAAUUCUUUAUACCCUAUUUCUCUUGCUACUGUUGGCCCUUGUUUGAUGUUCCAUGACUUUAUGUGGGGCUUGAAUUUGGCUUCGUAUUACCUGCAUAACUCAAUAUCUACUUUGUUUGUCUCUGGAAAUCCUUCCAAAUGCAGCAUCUCUUGUUUGACUCUUGACAUUGGUGUUAGUGGCAUUCUGUAGAUACGGCAAUGUUUGUAUUAGGAAGUUGUCUAAUUUUAUAAUCAGGUGGCAUGGUGCUAUGUACUCCUUUCGUUAAAGCCACUUCCUGUGCAUUUGCCUAGACACCAUCAUCGCAAAUUUAGCUAAAUAAUAUUGGGAAAACAAAAUAAUAAAAGAAAACUUAUGCAGAAGAAUAGAGCUGAUAUACCCAUAUCUUAUAGUAAUUUUGAAGUGGGUAUUCUAAUUCUUUAUAAAGAUAACACAAUAUGUGUCGUAUUUUGGUUUUGAUGAUUUACAAACAAGAAUGCAAGGGACCUGGUCCUUGCUGUGCUGAUUUAACAAUCAAAGGAAGCUUUGUACGGCUGUAAACUGUACUGUCUGUUUUGGCUAGUGGUGAUGCAGCUGGCGCGCUAACACCUGGACCAAUAGAGUGGCGCUAAGGUCUUACUCUCUCUUAUAAAAGGAAGAUGUGGCAUCAGCAAAACUUAGCUUUUGCAAUCAAAAGUUUACUCUCUGAAGCAAAAGCCUUUUUCAUCAGAUUACUGCUCACUUUCAACAAGGGACCUGAUAGAACAGCAGUUCAGAUUUUGUUGAUUUCUUGAGUUGUAGUCUUUUGUGCUUACCAUUGUAAACCUACUCCUAUGUUAUAAAGGAUUGUAGGUAUCAGUCUUGUCUAGGUCUUAGAUUGAGUCGUGUUAACUAGAGCUAGUUAUCGAUUCAGCUUUGGUUUAGUCAAGAUUUCUUCAUCAUGCCUUAUGUUAUUCUGGGUAGAGUUACCUAGGGAAUCAACUAGAGUUGGUUGAUUUGAAGGGUGCAAUAGGGUUGCUGCACAAAUCUUACUGGAAAUCCUGUGAGAUAGAUUGUGUUUUUCCCUCCCUUGUGCAAGGAGCUUUUCACGUAAAUAUUGAGUGUUCUUUAUUUCAGUUCUUUACGUUUAUCUUAUUUAUUUAUUGUUCUAUUGUUCAAAGGACGUGGUCCCUUUACUUGUAGCGGACUCGUAUAAGCCAACAAUAUGCAAUUAAGUUCUUUUAGAAGAAGGCUGUAAACUGCAAUCACAUAUACAAAAAGUUUCCAAUGUGUAAUGUGAGAGCACCUCUGGACUUAGGACUAUAGUACAACAGCUUAUGGUUAAGUAUAUUGCUGUUUUCUUCUUCUUUUUUUUAAACUGUCUGUAAAUGAGGAAAACUAUUGGUAAAUAAACAUCAUAUUUAGUUCCACUUGAAUGUACAUAGCAUAUUAUCACAAGCAUGCUGGUAUUGCCUGUGACUUAUUAGCUCAUAUACACAAAGCAAACAGAGAAGAAAAAGGAACCAGUUAUAUAGUGAGCUGUGGAUUGAUUUCUUGCUCCAAAAUAAUUAAUAAAAAAAUAUGUGAUAAGAGGUUUUGGGGAAAAAGUUUGUGGGGUGUUGUGAUGACAGAAAUUGUUAGGUGAAAAGGUGCAAUCUAAGGUGAGUAGAGAAUAAUAUGUUAUUUACUUUUAUAUGCAGCUACUAGCUUGAUUAUGAAGGCAAAAAACAGCUGAGGAAGUGAACUAAUUCCUUUGUAGAUACUAUUAUAUAGAUCCAUAAAUAGAUUUGUAUGUAUAGCCACUUCAAUCGUGCUCGUCCUUUCUCCAAAGUUAUCUAGACAUUAUUAUAUUCAUGAUCCUUUAUUCACCUAUGGAUAAAAUGCUCCAGUUUUCCAUUCUCAUAUGAGUCCGGAAAGUGAGUUGGCCAUUCAGUUACGUUGUGUGAUUUGAGAUGGGUAAAUUGUUAGGUAAAAAUAUUUCAAAUUGUCUUUUUUGCUGUAUGUGUUUAGAGGCCUACUUCACUUUACUAAUCCAUAUUCGUCUUGCAUGGAUGAUAGAAACACUUUCUUCCAAGAUUAUUUCCAUUUUCAGAGUUCGAACAUGAGAUCUCUAGUUAAAGGUGUAAGGAUAUCAUCCAUUCCACCAGACUCGUUAGUGGUAUAUUUCAAGUUGUAUAUGCAAUCAUAAAGUAAGUAUAGGACAAUUGUAAAAUGAUUGCUCGUGGAUUUGUGGGACAAGAGGCUAAUUUGGUUGCAACUGCACUGGUCACAAUCAAGAAUACCUUGGUACAGCUGACGAUAAUGUAAUGUAAGAUAACAAGUGAUAAUCCAUAAUCCAUAUAUUUGUUGUGUUAUCUGCUGUCUUUUUGCAGUGAAUGCAUGACAGGAUAUCACAACCAUUUUUAGCAGAUGAGCUAAAACUUUCAUGAGGACUAAUAAUGAUUAGUGAUGCUGAGAAAUGUGUCAAUCAUUCUGGAUUUGUAAGGUAAUUAUGCCACACUUUUCUGCUUGUACUUGUUCAAGACAAGAAAAUGACCUUUUUUCCUCUUCCUCUCUGAGUAGUAAUUUGACAUUCAAUAUUUAUUUUGCUGCAGAAAAAUCAUUAAACUAACUUUUGUAACAAAAGCUUAUUUAAUUAUGCCUAUAUAUCACCGGCAAAAAAAGCAGUAAUGCUACAUGAUCACUUUUAGGUGACAAACGUGAGUCCUAUGACUGCACAUCUAUACUUCCUGUGCAACUCUCCUUAGAUGAAUUUGCUUGGCAAACAAUUUUUUACAUUUGACAGCGCAAAAGUGGUGAAAUUUCUUGAAGGGGGAGAGCAAAGUUUUUAUGCGUAUCUUAGAUUGUUACACCGGGCGGAUCUACAGGGGUUCACUGGUAUCAUGGCACCCGCAAACUUCGAUCGGAUAACUUUAUGUAUAUAUAUAUAUAUAUAUUGAAUAAAAUCGGUAUAUUAUUCAAGUGUCAUCCGGUGCAGCAGUUGAGGAUGUAAUGCCAGUGGCAAACGCGCUGAAAACUUAAUCUUUGUUUGACUCCUUUUUUUUUUUGGGUAAUCUUUGUUUAAGAAUUUUUAACUUAAAGUGUAGAGUAUAAUUGAAGAUUCCUUCUUCUUUCAAAUUUAUAGUUAACCUCCCCUCGUAAAUCAUAAUAAUGAUGCUUGGCUUGAUGUUAUAAUUUCUUAACAAUAGAAUUGGAAAUAUCCAUUGAAUGUUGGCAACUAUUUUGUACUUUCACGCUGACUGAUAAGUUGAAUUUAACUCUUAUUUACACAAUUUAUAGUAAUAACAACAACAACGACAACAAACCCAAUGUAUUCACACAUAGUGGGUAUGAGGAGGGUAAAAUGUAUACAGUCCACACACUACCUCCGGAGAAAUAGAAAGGUUGUUUUCGAUAGUAUUUAUAAUAAUAAUCACAUUUUUAUUAUUUGAUUUAUUUGUCUAUAUAAAUUGAAAAGACAAAUAAUCAAAUCGAAACCCAAAGUAUAUAAAAUCGACAAAAUAUUUGUCUUAUUUGGAGCAGUGUAAAUAGCAUAACAUAAAGCAAAAAAUUAACUGAUUUCCAGCUGAAUUCGUAAAAAUUAGGUUCUUCGAUAAUGUUUCAAUGAAAUUUUCCUUCAAAAAUCUCUUACUAACAAGCCAAAUUCCAGUGGAACGCCUAUAAAAAUUAUCCUUUUUGAGUAGUAGCUUUAACGUUAAAAGUGACAUGAUACCCGCAACCUCGAAAUCCUAGAUCCGCCUCUGUAAUACACCCCUAGUUCAGGAUCACAAGACUUGCAAACGAAGUUUAUUUGUUUCUUUUUCCAAACAUGGAAAAGACAACAAAUUACAUUAAAUCUUUCAUAAGUAACGUCAUUUGAAUCGACCAAGAGGAACAAAAAACUCCAUUUUCUUGAGUGGAGCUUUCCGGACGAUCAAACCCUCUUUAUGUAUAUAAUUUGCCAGAAAACCGGCACAUUUAUUCUCUCUUCCACCAGAUGUAUAUACUAGCAGCAUUCAUGGUUUCCAGCAUAUUUUUACGAUCUUCAAUAAUAGCGCUAAAGACUGAUACUAUGUCAACUCUUUGAUAAGCUUGACAACAAGUAGGCAGUUUGCUUCCACUUCUAUUUCUCUGUCGCCGAUUCUUUUUGUUAGUUUUGACCCUUGUUUGAUGAUCCGUAGGUGUAUAGUGAGUCUUGAAGUUGGCUUCGCCUUACCUGAAACCCUAAAUUCAGUCUCUCAAAAUCCUUAAAUGAAAAAUCUCUUGUUUGAGUCUUGACAUUAGCCUUACUGGCAUUUUGUAAAUAGGGCAAUGUACGUAUUAGGAAGUAGGCUAACCUUGGAAUGUGAUAGCAUGGCGCUAUGCACUCCUUACUUAAAACCACUUCCUGGCCUUUGCCUAGACGUCACCAUCUUUCAUCAGCUUUAGCUAAUUAAUAUUGUGAAAAAAAAUAGAAACUUACACGGAGGAAUUGAGCUGACUUACCCGUAUCUUAAAGUAAUUUUUAAGUGGAUGUUCAAAUUUAUUUUAAAAGAUAAUGUAAUAUGCAAUUAACAUCUAUGCCAAGAAGGCCAGAAAUGGGAUUGCCUAUGUGUAAUGUGAGAGAACCCCUGGACUUAGGACUAUAGUACAACAGCUUAUGUUCUAGUAUGUUUAUGUUCUUUUUAUUUUUUUUUGGCUUUUAGCUGUCUGUAAAUGAGGAGAAUUAUUGGAUAGGUAGUCAAAAAUAACAUCUUAUUAAGUUCCACUUGAAUGUACAUAACAUAAUAUCACAAAUGUGCUGGCUUUUCAUGCGACUUAUUAGCUCAUAUACACAAAGCAAACAGAGAAGAAGAAAAAGGAGCCAGGAUAGACCAUUCCCCGGAACAUGUGGGGAAGAAGAGAAGUGGCACCAGAUGGAACAACAUUAACAGAGGAAGAAUCCGAGGAAGGAUCAUCCUUCUGUGGCUUUGAUGGCGCUGGAGCAGGUGCUGGUGGUAAUGGUGGGACAAAGAAUUUCAAAGGAAGCAGUACUUUAUCCACUUGGUAAAUAGCUAAUUGACUGUCAGUGUAAAUUGUACUGGUCAGACUUGCAUUAACAAUCCCAGUUGUUAUGUUCACUGCUGUCCCAUUUGUGGUUAUGUUGAUGGGGAAUUCGCGAUUAGUGGUUCCUCCAGCUUGUGUUGGUACAGGGUUGCUAGCCGUUUGGAACUGUGACAGGGAGAAAUAUGAGGG
RNAcentral lists this long non-coding RNA (15169 nucleotides) under Capsicum annuum. RNAcentral's name for it is "long non-coding RNA (CANN_LNC016393)". Lineage: Eukaryota; Viridiplantae; Streptophyta; Magnoliopsida; Solanales; Solanaceae. The record is from RNAcentral.